AAAUAAGAGUUUUAGAUUGAGUACAGAACUCAAGAAACAGUAUGCUGAACUAUUUAAGGAAGGAUAGUUCUUUAUGUUUCAUAUUCAUUACAGCAAUGACUUCAGCUUAACAAAACGCUUAAUGAGUAAAAAUAGUUUGAAAUAACAAUACUAAUUUGAAAAGAUAAAAUAAUUUUUAAGAUAUUAGUUGCUAUAAAAGGUAUGUAUAUUAAAUAUACUCUAAAGCACAGCCCCACUCUCAAAAGAACAUCCUUAACUUGAAAAGGUAAAAAAAAUGCAAACAUUCUUCAGCAUCUUCCCUUUAAUUCUGACUCACUGAAGGCCAAGUUUGCCAGCAGAGACAUUUCAGGCCUGAAAGGAGUGGCUGGAAGGUUAGGCACACAAACUGUUUUCUCUGCACCAAGGACCUGAAGAGCCCUCCUAGCAUUCAUGGUACAACCCCUUGAAAAGAGGGCACAGGCUGCAGAAAGGAUGGCAACUUCACCCCAUCAGAGUUCACACUCAUGGCCAGCAAAUUCAAAUCCCAUCUGGAAGGAGGGGCAGCCCCCACAGGGAGGCUUUCACCUCUACUCCUGGCCUGGAAGGUUUUUCCCUGCCAGCCCCGUGUCCUAGACAGGUUCACAGGCAUCUACUCGCCAGCCAAGGGAAAGGGCGCAUGUCCUCAGCCAUGGCUGGGAACUGGGAAGGGCUCUGUGCCCCUUCCACAUGGUGAAGCAGCUAUAAAACUAGAGCAGCAAACUCUCAUCUGCCCCUCUAUUUACAGCUCAUGGCGGGGGGAGUCUUGCAAACACUUUAAUAUAGCCUGAAGAAAACAAGGGGUGGGGGGAGAAGCAGAGCUGGAUACAAAGGGAAGCUCUAUAUAUAGAAUGUAAUUAUGUAAGAGUUUAACCAGGGAAGCAGAAUCAGAAAUUCAUCCUGCACAGAAGACACGGCUGUCUUGGCCGCUUUCUCCAUCUCCUCCAGAACAGGAAGUCCCCCUGAAUACUUGGCUGGCUGACCAGCACAGAUUUAAUGCAGAGUCUUUUUUUUUUUUUUUUUUUGCAACUUUUAAAUCACUUAUGUGUUUUGCCCUGGAUUUCAGGACAAAGAACAUACUUCAUAUAACGCAUUCAACCUUUUGUACUUUUUUCAGCUUAAGCUAUGAGCGGCCUGGAAUCCCCUGAAGAGUACUAUCUAACAGAACUUUCUCUAACAAGAGAGAUCCUCAGUAUCUUCACCAUCCAAUACAGUAGGUGCUAGACAAGUGUGGCUACUUAGGGCUCCAAAACAUGGCUAGGGAGCUGAGUGUAUUUGUUUGUCCUUUGCCAGGGCUGCGUAACAAAGCAUCACAAAGUAGAUGGCUUACGUAUCAGAAAUGUAUUGUCCCAUGAUUCUGGAAGCCAGAAAUCCAAAACCAAAGUGUGAACAGGGUUGAUUCCUUCCCAGGGCUGUGAGGUGAAAUCUGUCCCAUGCCUCCCUCCUAGUUUCUGGGGGUUUGCAGGCAAUCUUCGCCAUUCCUUGACUUGCAGAAACAGCACCUUAAUCUCUGCCUUCAGGUUCACAUGGCAUUCUUCUUGUGUAUGCAUCUGUGUCCCUGUUUCCCCUUUUUAGAAGGAAGCUUGUCCUAUUGGAUUAGGGGCUCAUCCUACUCCAGUAUAAUCACCUUAACUAACUACAAUUGCAAUGACCCUAUUUUCAAGAAAGAGUACAUUCUGAGGUACAGGGGUUAGGACCUCAAUGUAUAAAUUAGGAGAGAAUACAAUUCAAACCAAAAGACUGAGGGUGUUAUUUUUAAUUUUAUUUCAUUCUUAUUGGUUUGAAUUUAAAUGGUCACAGGUAGCUAGCCACUACUGUUUUAAGACAGCACAGCUCUAAAAUAUUUUCUCUCUCACUGGACUCAUUCACCAGGGGCUUACUGGAUUCCAGGCACUGUGUGAAGCCCUACACCUGGGGUGUACUUUCACCACCAGUUACCCAAGGAGGAAGCCUAGGUUCAGAGAGGGUAAAUACUUGUUCUUUGUUCAAGGUCAAAAAGCCAGCAAGUCAGAACUUGACUCAGCAGGUAAAGUUUUGUUACUCCAUAGCCCAUGCUUAAGAGCUAAUCCAGCAGCUGCUUCCAUUACAGUUUAACUUCUGAAACUGUCCUGGGACAUAAGACAGUCACAUGGAUGAUUACAUUCCCAGCUGCCUCUAAUGGGAAGACAAUUGACCACUCAGCUAUUAAUUGAUAUUAUAAGGAUUGAUUAAUUACUUGCUUGUAGCUGGUAAUCUCUCUCUCUCUUUUUUUUUUUUUUGGGGGGGGGGGCUCUUCACAGCAUGCAGAAAUUCAAAUCUGCACCACAGCAGUGACCCGAGCCACUUCAGGGAUGCCAGACCCUUAACCCACUGGGCUACAAGGGAACUCCAAUAAUUAUCUCUUAAACAGUACAUGUAUUAUAAAUAAUAAAACAAAACAAUUCCAAAUUUUACAGCAUUCAUCAUAUGUGAGGCACUUGAGUGCCUUAAACAGACAUCUUUCAAUUUUGACAUUAACUUUUAUUAUUAUCCCCACUUAACAAAUGAGAAAACUGAGGCUUUCAAAGGUUACAGCCCAACUAGAAAAAUUAUGCUUCAGGUUACAGAGCAAAUGAAUGUCCUCAACUCAUAUCUGUCAGGAUUCUAAAACUCUCUUCCUGAGCUACUCUGCCACAUGACUUCAUACAAGUUAUUAAACAUAUGCUUACAUACCAAUAAAAAUAAUGGAAAAGACUACACUACAUGAUAUGAAGUUUUCCAGAGCCUCCAAAGGGAUUCACCUUUCAAAGAGCCCUUGCCGUUUAACACACAGAACUAAAAGACUCUCUUUUCUAACCUUCUACAAUACACACCCUUAUGCCAAGUGUAUUCCUUGAAGAUAUUUCUGGCGAGAAAGGUUUAGCUCAAGUAAUGGUUUUUGCAAGAGAGUUUAAGGAUGAAGUAUGUGACUUAAAAAAAACCCGACAUCAUGGCUUUUCAAGGGGAAAAUUGAAACGUUAUUUCAAGUCCCCAGAUAAUAAGAUCAAUAGACAACUUCCCAGUGGAGGCAUUUGCUGCCGACUGACUAAAGAAACAGUCUCCACAGUUUCCCUUAAGAGGCCACCCCACAGUUUAAUCGUCCUCACUGUUAGGGUUUUUGUUCACAUCUAUAGCCUAAAAUUCUUUCUGCUAAAUUUCAACAUGGUAUCCACCAGCUGCUCUCCUAGAUAAACAAUGCCUCUUAGGGAUUUGCACCCACUAAAAACCCUUGACUGGUAACCAUUCAUGCAGUCCCUACAAAUUACCUGCAAGGUGACUAUCAAAUUAUUAAUAUGGUUUGAAAACACAAAAGAAUAAUAUGAAACAAUCUUCACCCACAAGAUGCUUAAAACGGGCUGCUAGGGAAAGUGUGACAAACCUAAAAAAAACAGAAUGAAAAUAAAUGAAUUAAUAUUCCCUUUAAUCAUAAUCACAUAAGAAAUGGAUAUCAGUACCUCCAAUGUGACAGGCAUUGCAAUAAGAUUAGGAACAAAGCAACAGAUAAGAUAGCUACAGCCGGACCCUAGUUUAUACAGACUUAAAAAACCUUUCAGUAUUGUAAUACUUAAUGUUGUUAUCCCCAAACUAUCAAGCCAUUUAACAUCUUUUUUUUAAGUUAUAUGAUGUUACAAGUUCCAGAAAUCAGGGUUGCCAGGUAUAGCAAAUAAAAUAUACAUGACCAGCUAAGUGUGAACUCCAGAUAAAUGACAAAUAAUUUUUUCAUAGUAAUAUGUCUAUACUGGACCUGGCAAAACAUAUCAUUUAGCCACUAAUAUUAAGUUGCAGAACAAAUAUGAAAUAUAGAUUUUUUUUUUUUUAUACCAGAGCUCUAAGCGUUAGUAACUUCAAGCAAAUUACCACAUAACAAUUCUCAUGUUUAAACAUGGAAGCACAGGAGUUCCCGUCAUAGCUCAGUGGUUAACGAAUCCGACUAGGAACCAUGAGGACACGGGUUCAAUCCCUGGCCUCGCUCAGUGGGUUAAGGAUCCAGCAUUGCUGUGGCUCUGGUGUAGGCCAUGGCUAUAGCUCCAAUUAGUCCCCUAGCUUGGGAACCUCCAUAUGCUGUGGGUGUGGCCCUCAAAAAGACAAAAAAAAAAAAAAUUAAGAAAUAAACACGGAAGCAUAAAACGAGAAUGUGGGUCACGGUAACCAUGCGAUUCCGUGAGAGUUGUGAAUGGAACCUCCUGAGGGAACCAAAAAUGAAAAGUUUAACUUCAGUUUUAUCUAUGGGAUUAUGUUUUCUAAAUUUAUUUGAUAAAUAUGUUGUAGGAAACAAUGUGAUGGGGAACAGGACAAGAGAUUUGCAUGUGCUGUCACACCCCAUACCACAUUUAAUCCAAAAACAUCAAGGUUAGCAACCUGCCCCUCCACACAUCUAUCAAUUCCAUGUGCAUCCAUCACUGGGCAGCAGUAAAAUUUCUUACUGUUGCUAGAGGGAAUGCCACAUGCUUCGGAGGCAGUGAGUUCAGUGUGACACACACAUGCAAACACAUUUGAACUUUCUCUCACCAGCCUGGUGAGCAGCAUUUCUUGGCUCAACCUCGACUGCAGUCAGUACCAGAAAUGCCUCCAAGGGUGGAGAAUCCAAAUCUGUCUUCACUAUGUGUCACUUUUAUUCCAGGUCAGAGAGGCGACAUUCUGAGGGUCCUAAUUAAAAAGUAAUUGAAUUUAUAUUUAGUGUGUGCAGGGCACUUAUAUGCUACAGAGACAUCGAUUGCUGCAACAAACCUGGUUCCCUUUUCUCGCUCAUGAUCAAAAUAGAGUAAAUUUCCCAAACUGUCUCAUUAUAGUGCAGGAGGAGACAAAAGAAAGCAUGUAAGUCAACGGAAUGUGGCAGACGUGAUGUACACCACUUCUAAGCCUGACUCCUAAUAUGUUCCCAAGCCAUGGAAAUGCAGAGCUAUAAGACAGAAGGAGCCUGGCUUUGUUAAUGACAACCAGGACUUGCAAGAGCAACUUUGCGUGACCUAACAGCAAAUUUUAUUCUGUUGAACACAUGAGAUUUGAGAACCUGUUAGAGCUACUGCUGUAACUAAUACAUGCCCAAGCCUCGGCAAAGCAAAUGGAAACCCAAAUUAUAUGUAAUGAAAUCUUUCCUACAACUCCAUUGCUCCAGCAUGAUGUAUUUAACAUCUUCCUACUUCAGAGAAAACAUCUCCUUUAUCACAGUUUCAUGUUGAAUCAUUCUGCAAAGAAA
RNAcentral lists this long non-coding RNA (5209 nucleotides) under Sus scrofa (pig). RNAcentral describes it as "lncRNA (ENSSSCG00000058529.1)". The record is from RNAcentral. Lineage: Eukaryota; Metazoa; Chordata; Mammalia; Artiodactyla; Suidae.